RNAcentral lists this ribosomal RNA (922 nucleotides) under uncultured Bacteroidota bacterium. RNAcentral describes it as "bacterial SSU rRNA". It matches the Rfam family "Bacterial small subunit ribosomal RNA", at positions 1 to 916 of the family's 1533-position model. The record is from RNAcentral. Lineage: Bacteria; Pseudomonadati; Bacteroidota.
GGAUCCAGACUUUGAUUAUGGCUCAGGAUGAACGCUAGCUACAGGCUUAACACAUGCAAGUCGAGGGGCAGCAUGGUCUUAGCUUGCUAAGGCCGAUGGCGACCGGUGCACGGGUGAGUAACACGUAUCCAACCUGCCGUCUACUCUUGGACAGCCUUCUGAAAGGAAGAUUAAUACAAGAUGGCAUCAUGAGUCCGCAUGUUCACAUGAUUAAAGGUAUUCCGGUAGACGAUGGGGAUGCGUUCCAUUAGAUAGUAGGCGGGGUAACGGCCCACCUAGUCUUCGAUGGAUAGGGGUUCUGAGAGGAAGGUCCCCCACAUUGGAACUGAGACACGGUCCAAACUCCUACGGGAGGCAGCAGUGAGGAAUAUUGGUCAAUGGGCGAGAGCCUGAACCAGCCAAGUAGCGUGAAGGAUGACUGCCCUAUGGGUUGUAAACUUCUUUUAUAAAGGAAUAAAGUCGGGUAUGGAUACCCGUUUGCAUGUACUUUAUGAAUAAGGAUCGGCUAACUCCGUGCCAGCAGCCGCGGUAAUACGGAGGAUCCGAGCGUUAUCCGGAUUUAUUGGGUUUAAAGGGAGCGUAGAUGGAUGUUUAAGUCAGUUGUGAAAGUUUGCGGCUCAACCGUAAAAUUGCAGUUGAUACUGGAUAUCUUGAGUGCAGUUGAGGCAGGCGGAAUUCGUGGUGUAGCGGUGAAAUGCUUAGAUAUCACGAAGAACUCCGAUUGCGAAGGCAGCCUGCUAAGCUGCAACUGACAUUGAGGCUCGAAAGUGUGGGUAUCAAACAGGAUUAGAUACCCUGGUAGUCCACACGGUAAACGAUGAAUACUCGCUGUUUGCGAUAUACGGCAAGCGGCCAAGCGAAAGCGUUAAGUAUUCCACCUGGGGAGUACGCCGGCAACGGUGCAACUCAAAUGAAUUGACGG